This 1784-nucleotide unclassified non-coding RNA is filed under the name uncultured fungus. RNAcentral describes it as "sequence contains 18S rRNA gene, ITS1, 5.8S rRNA gene, ITS2, 28S rRNA gene". The stretch from base 613 to 1784 matches the Rfam family "Eukaryotic large subunit ribosomal RNA", at positions 1 to 961 of the family's 3401-position model. The record is from RNAcentral. Lineage: Eukaryota; Fungi.
GGAAGGAUCAUUAACACGAUACCAAAACAACUCUAAACAAUUGCGAACCUGUGUCGGGAGGGCUCCUUUCGGGGGGUUCUCUCGCGUAAAUUAAACAUACCUUUAUACCACUUAUUACUCGUUUGACAGUCAAAAACCUUAUACAGGCAGUUUUAUUACUGUUUGGAUAACGCUUAAUACAACUCUUAGCAACGGAUAUCUUGGUUCUCGCAACGAUGAAGAACGCAGCGAAAUGCGAUACGUAAUGCGAAUUGCAGAAUUCAGUGAAUCAUCGAAUCUUUGAACGCAAAUUGCGCUCUCGGGUUUCUGCCUGGGAGCAUGCCUCUUUGAGUAUCGGUUCACCUCUAUUCUCAGGCUUGCUUGAGAGUGAAGUCAUAGAUGAGUGUCCGGAGCCCGUAAAGGACUCUGGUCGCUUGAAAUACAAUCGUAUGCCACAGCAUAGGGGAAGACUCCCCAUGGCUUUCUGGCUUGUUAUCACUUGAGGUAGUUUCCAAAAGUGGUGGCAGGUGCUGGGAGAGACCUCUGGGAUGUUGUACCUAUGCUAGUGCUACGAACUGGAGUUGGCAUGCCCGUCACUGGGUGUAUGCGACUCAACUUAAAUUUUAUUAUCCCUGAUCUCAAAUGAGGCAAGAGGACCCGCUGAACUUAAGCAUAUUAAUAAGCGGAGGAAAAGAAACUAACAAGGAUUCCCCUAGUAACGGCGAGUGAAGCGGGAAUAGCUCAAACUGAAAAUUGGAGUGCCUUGGGUACUCCGAAUUGUAGUCUAUAGAACUGGUGGCAGCGUGUGGCCCGGGCCUAAGUCCUUUGGAAGAGGGCGUCAUAGAGGGUGAGAACCCCGUCUAUGGUUCGGAGUCCGCCGCGUACGUCUCUAGUUUCUACGAGUCGGGUUGUUUGGGAAUGCAGCCCAAAAUGGGUGGUAAAUUCCAUCUAAAGCUAAAUACAUGCGAGAGACCGAUAGCGAACAAGUACCGUGAGGGAAAGAUGAAAAGAACUUUGAAAAGAGAGUUAAAAAGUGCUUGAAAUUGCUAAGAGGGAAGCAAUGGAAACCAGUAGUCGUGGCAUGUUCAUUUUCCUGUUUGGCUGGUGGAUGCCUGGGGCUGGGGAGUUAGCAAUGACCUCCGGUUUUGGGUAAGAAGCUAGUUGGGCAGUCCCUAUGGAUGUGCACGUGUCAAACCCGCUUUGGAAAUUAUUCACAGGAUAUGCGCCUGGUGGAAGGUAGCAGGGAUCUGUGUACGCAGUGAACUGUGUUAUAGACACCGGGGUCGUGCUGUGUUGACUGGAGCGGGCGAGUCUUGCCUCUCGAUAGGUGAGCUCCCAGUGCCGUAAGUUAUGGCUCCCUGUUUGCGGUUCAGUUUGGGGACAACAAAGUUGUGCCCGAGUUGGACUCGUGAGCACGGGUUAUGGCUGAAGUGCUGCCUUGACGUAAAUGGUUUUCACUGACCCGUCUUGAAACACGGACCAAGGAGUCUGACAUAUAUGCGAGUAUUUGGGUGAUUAAAACCCUGAUGCGUAAUGAAAGUGAAGGCAGGCAGUAGUCUGCUGAGGUGGGACUCUGGCCCCUCCGGGGUAUUUGCCAGACGCACCAUCGACCGAUCGUUCACUUGUGGAGGAUUUGAGUAAGAGCAUAUCUGUUGGGACCCGAAAGAUGGUGAACUAUGCCUGGACAGGGCGAAGCCAGGGGAAACUCUGGUGGAGGCUCGUAGCGAUACUGACGUGCAAAUCGUUCGUCUGAUCUGGGUAUAGGGGCGAAAGACUAAUCGAACCAUCUAGUAGCUGGUUCCCUC